CUAGUCGAUCCUCUUUCCCGUUCACUCUUCUCGUCAGUCGAUGAUUGAAUAUCGAAUGACAGAUCAGUGCGCGAGAAGGAAGACUAG
This is a non-coding RNA of Pristionchus pacificus, 87 nucleotides long. NCBI's taxonomy places the organism in Eukaryota, Metazoa, Nematoda, Chromadorea, Rhabditida, Neodiplogasteridae. The record is from Rfam.